AGUGGGAUAGCUGGGUCAAAUGAUGGUUUCAUUCCACGUUUUUCAAGGAAUCUCCAUACUGCUUUCCAAAGUGGUUAUACAAUUUGCAGUCCCACCAGCAGU
This 102-nucleotide microRNA precursor is filed under the name Marmota monax (woodchuck). Lineage: Eukaryota; Metazoa; Chordata; Mammalia; Rodentia; Sciuridae. The record is from RNAcentral.